RNAcentral lists this ribosomal RNA (497 nucleotides) under uncultured bacterium. RNAcentral's name for it is "partial 16S ribosomal RNA". It matches the Rfam family "Bacterial small subunit ribosomal RNA", at positions 28 to 507 of the family's 1533-position model. The record is from RNAcentral.
GAUGAACGCUGGCGGCGUGCCUAAUACAUGCAAGUCGAGCGAACAGACGAGGAGCUUGCUCCUCUGACGUUAGCGGCGGACGGGUGAGUAACACGUGGAUAACCUACCUAUAAGACUGGGAUAGCUUCGGGAAACCGGAGCUAAUACCGGAUAAUAUAUUGAACCGCAUGGUUCAAUAGUGAAAGACGGUUUUGCUGUCACUUAUAGAUGGAUCCGCGCCGCAUUAGCUAGUUGGUAAGGUAACGGCUUACCAAGGCAACGAUGCGUAGCCGACCUGAGAGGGUGAUCGGCCACACUGGAACUGAGACACGGUCCAGACUCCUACGGGAGGCAGCAGUAGGGAAUCUGCCGCAAUGGGCGAAAGCCUGACGGAGCAACGCCGCGUGAGUGAUGAAGGUCUUCGGAUCGUAAAACUCUGUUAUUAGGGAAGAACAAAUGUGUAAGUAACUAUGCACGUCUUGACGGUACCUAAUCAGAAAGCCACGGCUAACUACGUG